RNAcentral lists this ribosomal RNA (2020 nucleotides) under human gut metagenome. RNAcentral describes it as "bacterial LSU rRNA". It matches the Rfam family "Bacterial large subunit ribosomal RNA", at positions 514 to 2555 of the family's 2925-position model. The record is from RNAcentral.
GUGAAAAGGACCCCGGGAGGGGAGUGAAAGAGAACCUGAAACCUUGUGCUUACAAACAGUCAAAGGACGCAAGUCUGAUGGCGUACUUUUUGUAGAACGGUCCGGCGAGUUACUAAUGCCAGCGAGGUUAAGUGGUCAGAAGCCACGGAGCCGAAGGGAAACCAAGUCUGAAUAGGGCGUAGAGUUGGUAUUAGUAGACCCGAAACCGGGUGACCUAUCCAUGUCCAGGUUGAAGGAACCGUAAAAGGUUUUGGAGGACCGAACACACAUGUGUUGAAAAACGUGGUGAUGAGGUGUGGAUAGCGGAGAAAUUCCAAUCGAACUCGGAGAUAGCUGGUUCUCCUCGAAAUAGCUUUAGGGCUAGCCUCGAGCUGGAGUCUAACGGAGGUAAAGCACUGAACUGACGCGGGGCCCAAAAAGGUUACCAACUCAUAUCAAACUAAGAAUGCCGUCAAGAUACCCUCGGGAGUCAGUCUGCGUGAGAUAAGUCGCGUGGACAAAAGGGAAAGAGCCCAGACCGACAGCUAAGGUCCCAAAGUACGUGUUAAGUGGAAAAGGAUGUGGGAUUUCAUAGACAACUAGGAUGUUGGCUUAGAAGCAGCCAUACAUUUAAAGAGUGCGUAAUAGCUCACUAGUCGAGAAAACCUGCGCCGAAAAUGUAACGGGGCUAAAACACGACACCGAAGCUACGGAUUUCCUACAAGGUAGGAAGUGGUAGAGGAGCAUCCUGCAAGGACGAAGCCAAAGUGAGAGCGAUGGUGGACGAAACAGGAGAGAGAAUGCCGGAAUGAGUAGCGAGAUACAUGUGAGAAACAUGUAGGCCGAAUAUCUAAGGAUUCCUGGGUAAAGCUAAUCUUCCCAGGGUUAGUCGGGGCCUAAGGCGAGGGCGAAAGUCGUAGUCGAUGGAUAACAGGUUGAUAUUCCUGUACUACACAUAAUCAGAACUGUGGGGACGCAGGAGGAUAGGGAAACCGGGGAAUGGAAAGACCCGGUCAAGCGUAAAGCUGUGGGAGAUAGGCAAAUCCGUCUCCUGUAAGUGAAACGUGAUGAGGACUGAAAAAAAGUAAGGAAGUUUCCGAAUCCACACUGCCGAGAAAAGCCGCUAUUGCGUUAUGUGUACCCGUACCGUAAACCGACACAGGUAGAUGAGGAGAAAAUCCACAGGCCGACGGGAGAAGUGUUGUUAAGGAACUCGGCAAAAUGACCCCGUAACUUCGGGAUAAGGGGAGCCUCGCAAGAGGCCGCAGAAAAGAGGCACAAGCAACUGUUUAGCAAAAACAUAGGUCUAUGCGAAACCGUAAGGUGAAGUAUAUGGGCUGACGCCUGCCCGGUGCUGGAAGGUUAAGAGGAGAGGUUAGCGCAAGCGAAGCUUUGAAUUUAAGCCCCAGUAAACGGCGGCCGUAACUAUAACGGUCCUAAGGUAGCGAAAUUCCUUGUCAGGUAAGUUCUGACCCGCACGAAAGGCGUAAUGAUUUGUGCACUGUCUCGACAACACGCCCGGUGAAAUUGAAGAACCAGUGAAGAUACUGGUUACCCGCAACAGGACGGAAAGACCCCAUGGAGCUUUACUGCAGCCUGAUACUGGGAUUCGAUGAUAUAUGUACAGGAUAGGUGGGAGGCUAAGAAGCGAGAACGCUAGUUUUCGUGGAGCCGCCGGUGGGAUACCACUCUUAUGUCAUUGAAUUUCUAACCUGCAUCCGUAAUCCGGGUGAGGGACAAUGUCAGGCGGGCAGUUUGACUGGGGCGGUCGCCUCCUAAAAGGUAACGGAGGCGCUCGAAGGUCACCUCAGAAUGAUUGGAAACCAUUCAAAGAGUGUAAAGGCAAAAGGUGGCUUGACUGCGAGAGCGACGGCUCGAGCAGGUACGAAAGUAGGACUUAGUGAUCCGGUGGUAAUAAGUGGGAAUGCCAUCGCUCAACGGAUAAAAGCUACCCUGGGGAUAACAGGCUUAUCUCCCCCAAGAGUUCACAUCGACGGGGAGGUUUGGCACCUCGAUGUCGGCUCAUCGCAUCCUGGGGCUG